Molecule: non-coding RNA, 1963 nt
Organism: Arachis ipaensis
Lineage: Eukaryota; Viridiplantae; Streptophyta; Magnoliopsida; Fabales; Fabaceae
Source: RefSeq, a predicted model, not a curated record
AUUUCUACCUAUUCAGCUUUAUUCGUUUAUCUAAAGACAUAGGGUGUUUUUUGGACUUAUUCCAGGCUUUCCCUGAUGCCUUGUUCCAUCAAUUGCUUGUGGCCAUGGCUCAUCCGAACAUGAAACACAAAUUGGAGCACAUGGUGUCUUCUCUAUGGUGCUUAUGCCAUCAAUGGUUUCUCCUUAGUUGGACCAGAAAACAAAGAUGGCUAUGAAGGUACAGAGUAAUAGCUUCCACAUUCAGCAUGAUAGUUUCUCUGAAGCAGAACACUUAAAUGGGAAACUGCUAGAAGGAAACACGGUUGCAGAAGUUACUGGGGAUAAAAAUGCUGUUCAUCCAUAUCGUGGUUAUAGCUUUACUCGUGCACUAACUGAUGGAAAAGAGGAUUUAGGUUCUCUUAGAUUGAGCAGUCACCAAGUGAGUCUGUUGCUUUCUUCCAUCUGGGUUCAAGCAACCUCUGUAGAAAAUGGGCCUGCAAAUUUUGAGGCAAUGGCACACACUUUUAGCAUCUCUUUAUUGUUUACUCGUUCUAAGGCAUCCAAUUACAGGGUUUUGGCUAGAUGUUUCCAAUUAGCAUCCUCCCUUCGAAGCAUCUAUAUUCAUUUAUAAAAUGUUAUAAUUUAAGUGAUAAUUUAACCCAAUCCUUCCUUUGUUUUUUCGUUUCUUUCUUCUUUUUCUAAAAAAUAUUCAUUUAUAUUCAACGUUGUGCUUCUAUUACCUUUAUUAUUUAAGCUUUUUGUACUUUAUUUUCGACUCCUCUGUCACUCUAUUUCGGACUCACUCAUCACUUGUCACAAUUUUUUGAUGGAUAUGAAUAUCAUAAGACAUCAUUUGAGUAGAUUUACCAUUUUACUCAUAGCCACUUUGGCCUGUCUAUACCUUCAUUUGGAAAGUAAAUGUUCUCAUUACAAUACUCAAAGGUACGUUAUAGGUCUACUUUGCUCGUACUACGAAUGGCAUUAAUGUUGCUGUGAAAGUUCAGCAUCCUAAUUUGCACCAUGUGGUGGUGCGAGAUGUCUAUAUUCUUCGUCUUGGGGUUUGUAUUGACUAUUGUUGACCUUGGUUCUUCACCAUUAUUGUUCCAUCCAACAUUAAAUGUUAAUCUAAUGUGUAUAUUAAUAAGUUCAGUUAGGGCUGCUGCAAAAGAUUGCCAAGAGAAAGAGUGACCCUCGCCUAUAUGCUGAUGAGCUUGGGAAAGGUUUUGUUGGUGAAUUGGAUUACACUUUAGAGGCUGCAAAUGCUUCAAAAUUUCUGGUAAUGAAUGACAUUCAUAUUAAUUGGAUUAAGUUUACAUAAUGAGGAGAUCUAUAAACUGGAUAUUUAGAGCAUUAAUGAAAACUUUCAUUAGUGUUUUGCUCUUUUGGCUGACUUGUUAUAAUACAUGCUUCUACAAAUUUGUCUCAUCACAAAUUUAGUUUUUUAUUAGGAGCAGUUGUUGUUGUUGUUGCAUUAUAUUGCUCUCACGGGGACACAGAAAUUGUUGAGUUCUGAUCAGUGCAUAUAGUGCUCAAAUAUAUUCUUGACAAAAGAUCAAGAUAUAUGGUAAUUGAUUCUUUUGACUUCACAUGUCAUUUGGAACAGUCAAUCACUAUGUGUAGGACUUAUUUUUACCCCCAUCAAGCAAUCAAUCCAGAAUUUCUUUCUAGUCAAAACUUGUUCAGAAAUGGGGAGUUUGCUGAGAGGAAGGACAAUGGGAAGAUAGCUGAAGGAUCGAAAGGAGAGGAAAAAGCAGGAAAUUAGGACUCAUAAUGCUCAGUUGCAUGCUGCAGUAUCCGUGGCAGGCAUAGCUGCUGCCGUUGUGGCCAUUGCAACUUCAAUAGAGUGUACAUUGUAGAAUCAAUAGAGUGUACAUAGCUGCCAUAAAGUUCUACACUUACCAUAUGAGUGGUCUCUAGCUUAGCUUGCAUUGUUCAAGAAAUUUUAGAAAAUUCUAAGGAUGCUACUCUACUAAUGUUUCUGAGA